RNAcentral lists this transfer RNA (66 nucleotides) under Staphylinoidea sp. 5 KM-2017. Its description in RNAcentral is "tRNA-Trp". The record is from RNAcentral. Lineage: Eukaryota; Metazoa; Arthropoda; Insecta; Coleoptera.
AAGGAUUUAAGUUAAAUAAAACUAAGAACCUUCAAAGUUCUAAAUAAAGUUAAUCUUUAAGCCUUA